AGAGGUCAAAUCAAUUGUCAAAACACCCUUGCCAGAGGAUGGUCACAGAAUCUCACUUCGUGACCCGACUAUUCUGUCUCUCAGGAUCUGUCCUGCAGAGCAUGACAAAUCCGGACAUGGAGAAUCUCACAGCUGAACAGCAUUGGAAACACAUCGAAAUGAAAGUUCUCUCCUAUAAUACAAAGAAACCCCCUAUUUUCCAGAGUCUCUUGUUGCAAUGAUGCAGUUGUUCACCUCUUAUUGAGUUGGACUCGAUCAAUACCGGCAAUCUAGCCCUUGAAACUUUUAAAACAUUGAAUUGCAUCUGCAAACAGUUUGGGCUCUGCCAGCUAAGCUGAAUCCUCUGACUGUUUUGGCCUUUUGUGGAGUGUUGUUGUGCUCCGUAAGGGAAAACAAGAUGCGCUUCUGAGCUGAAUAGCAAAGUGGACUGCUGCUGCUGCUGCUUCUGCUGCUGCGGUUACGAGGCCUCCCCUGACACUCACAUCCCGUAUUCAGGAAAACUGCUUCAAAGUCGCCUUACCCAUCAGCAUCAGCACCACCUUAGCUCCUUCUCACCAGUCAAUCUAUUGAUCCAGUUUGCAACAAGCCAAGCAAAUUAGCUUUUGACUUAAAACUGAAGUGACAGGGGGAAAAUUGAAAUCUUUAUCGUAAUCUGCAGUUACUGAGGUGUAGUAGAUGUCUCCAUACAAUCUCCUGUGAAUUUCACAAAGCCCUCACUCCCUCUCCCAUGAGCGAAGGGUGAUGUGUGAAAACUCUUUUAUGAGACAGGGAGAACUUUCUUUCAUUAGCUAAAAUGUUUGAUCCAUAAUAUAUGAUCCAGCAAUAUAUACAUACGCAGAUGAAUAUUCAUUCAAAGACCUGCGCAAACAAAGCAGCCAGAAUGUGCAGGUGCCCUUUUAAUUGGCAUGUUGUUUACGCUUAGCGUAAUAAGGGGGAGGUUUGGGAGGGUGGUGGUGAAGCAAGAGAAUGAUGGUAGGGGGUCGGGGUAGGGGGGCUGCUGAGUGUUAGACUCGACUGGAAGUUAAUUAAGCCGGCAACAGUGCUCCAUCACUCAAGCACGGUCCCAGAACUGUCAUUCAAGUGCAGCGCUCUCCAGGCAGCCAUUACUGAGGCGUAUCGAUCGCCAUCGUGACAAGGUGGUGCACCAAAUGGGAGCGGGCAGAGAUGACGGCUUUGAGAGAGAGUGUGUGUGUGUUUGCGGUUUAGGGUGUGGGGAAAGAGUGGGUGAGGUGUUUCCAAGCACAUAAACCCAGCAGCAGCAGCAGGAGAGAGUACCGCCACGCUCCCCAAACAUGAAUUAAAAUGCAGGUAAAUACACAGCAGCAGAGCCGCUUGAUUGCAUUUCCUUCCCUGGGUAGCUGCAGCCUUAAUAGAUGAAUAUGAAAUCUUCAGAGUCAAUAUAUAUGCAGUUAAGUGGUGAGGAAAAGAGGCAGUGGUAAUGGCCUCCAGAAAUCUCCCUCGCAUCUUUUACUUUGGGAAAUAUUGUCCUCAACUCACAUUCAGACUCUUAAAUAGUUUUCUCCUCAGCUGCAGGACCACGUACCUGACCCCAGGAGUUUUUUUUGCAUCACUAGGUGUCCAUGGGAAUGAGUGACUCAGAGGUGAUGGCUGCAAAGGAUCAUGGGAUUCUUGCCAACUGAAUUUUUUAAUCCCCAGCCAAAGCAUGCACAAGAUUUCUAAUAAAAAAGAGGGUUCCUGGUUUAAACGAGUCAAGUGUUGUAUUUCCUGUUAAUGUUUGUUGAUUUCCAAGAAAAAGACAACAUUCAGCCCUGUUUCACAUCUCUGCUUGGAAACCACGACAUUAAACAGUCAUCCAGGGCCUAAUUUGACUUGAUGGGCUGUUUUGACGAACUUAAUAAAGCCUCAAGCAGAGUUGAAGCACGUUCACAGCAGAUAAUCUCAUGGCAGCACUAGUUCACAGUGUUUUUCCAAAAGUCAAUCUAUGAUUAUGGUUGAAAGUUGAUUUUUGGCGUCAACAAAACAAGGCCUGAAAAAUCAAUUAAGAAGCCAUCUUCAUCGUCUUUGUUUAAUGUUUCCAAUCCCUCAAUUUAAAAAUGAAAAAUAUAUAUACACUGUCUUGGAUUUCUUUUAGGUUUGGUUUUCUGAAUAAAAGAGGGUCAGAAACAUGUUUGAAACAUUAAAAACAACAUGAAUAUGACAGAUAUUCCAUCAAUCAUGUUAUUGGUCUUGAUUAAUAUAGAUCAGAGAUUCAUGCGACUACAAGUAAAUCUAGUAUUUAGAGCCCAUGUGGGGAGAUUUGACUGUAAGACAAACUCAAAUGUCGUCACAAGUGUCAUUGUUUUUAGAAAUCUAACCAGACCAUAGACUGUAUUUACUCUAGACAACUUGGUUCCGCCUCCCACCUGUAUACAGAUUUGAAGCCAAAAAGCUCUCGGUAUUUCCGUGAUUUUUCUUCAUUUCUUGAAACCAACAUUAGGCAGUACUGUUGCACAUAUUCAGCGUAUCCUUCGAGUGAUCUACGCAAUCCUUCAACGCCAAUAGGCUGUACGAAUUGUCAAUCAUAGAAAACAUGAACCCUCUAAUAACUUUUAAAAAUGGAGUUUCACAGAAAAAAGAGGACUUGAACACAAACCAGUCUUACUGUAACUACAUGUCAACAUCGCAAGUAGGGGGAAGAAAAAGUCUCAGAGUGGCUUCACCCAGCAAGGAGGCAGACACUGUCCAUUCUAUAUACAGUCUAUGAACCAGACUCAUUGAUGGAAAACAAAAUAUUCUUCCAUAGCUGUAGACCCCCAAAAUGCUAUAAUGCUCUUCUCCCAGGUGGUGUCUGCUAUUUUGCUAUCUGAAAAAUGGCGAUAAAAGUUGGAUGUUGGAUGUGUCUGACCUGCAGUGGAGUCUGAAGGCUGGUGGUGCUAGCUCUGCAAGUGUUAGCCACACCAUACAAGCCAAUCUGUCAGUAUC
Molecule: long non-coding RNA, 2922 nt
Filed under: Xyrichtys novacula (pearly razorfish)
Lineage: Eukaryota; Metazoa; Chordata; Actinopteri; Labriformes; Labridae
Source: RNAcentral